CAGUCGCCACGGUAAUACGGAGGGCGCGAGCGUUACCCGGAUUACUGGGCGUAAAGGGCGUGUAGGCGGCCUGGGGCGUCCCAUGUGAAAGGCCACGGCUCAACCGUGGAGGAACGUGGGAUACGCUCAGGCUAGAGGGUGGGAGAGGGUGGUGGAAUUCCCGGAGUAGCGGUGAAAUGCGCAGAUACCGGGAGGAACGCCGAUGGCGAAGGCAGCCACCUGGUCCACUUCUGACGCUGAGGCGCGAAAGCGUGGGGAGCAAACCGGAUUAGAUACCCCCGUAGUCCCUGUCUCUUAUACA
Molecule: ribosomal RNA, 301 nt
Filed under: uncultured bacterium
Lineage: Bacteria
Description: partial 16S ribosomal RNA
Rfam family: Bacterial small subunit ribosomal RNA
Source: RNAcentral